Molecule: non-coding RNA, 50 nt
Filed under: bovine gut metagenome
Also listed under: 1 other name
Source: RNAcentral
AGUGUGGAGGGAUUUGGAUGCUUGCAACCACCAAAAAAAAUGCUAAAAAG